UCUCUACUCUUUUCUGUCUUC
Molecule: non-coding RNA, 21 nt
Filed under: Arabidopsis thaliana (thale cress)
Lineage: Eukaryota; Viridiplantae; Streptophyta; Magnoliopsida; Brassicales; Brassicaceae
Source: RNAcentral